GUGAAGGAGGGAUAAAUAAAAGUAAGGAGGGGUAAGUGAGUUAUAUUCCCUGUUUGAAAAGUGAAUUAAUAAAAGUUAAGGGUAAGUCUUAUUUUACCUUACCUCUCAAAUUUCAAAUUUUCUUACGCUCAAAUUGGAAAUUGGAGUAUAAGUAGGGGAGGCAAGAGCUAUAACUAUUUUUAAUUGUGCACCUCUUAAAUUUUCUUCACCUCUUCCCAAACAUAAAAAAUA
RNAcentral lists this unclassified non-coding RNA (231 nucleotides) under Hevea brasiliensis (rubber tree). The record is from RNAcentral. Lineage: Eukaryota; Viridiplantae; Streptophyta; Magnoliopsida; Malpighiales; Euphorbiaceae.